GACGAACGCUGGCGGCGUGCUUAACACAUGCAAGUCGAACGAUGAAGCCGGAGCUUGCUCCGGUGGAUUAGUGGCGAACGGGUGAGUAACACGUGAGCAAUCUGCCCUUGACUCUGGGAUAACUGCGGGAAACUGUAGCUAAUACUGGAUACGACACCUUGGGGCAUCCCAGGGUGUGGAAAGAAUUUCGGUCAAGGAUGAGCUCGCGGCCUAUCAGCUAGUUGGUGAGGUAAUGGCUCACCAAGGCGACGACGGGUAGCCGGCCUGAGAGGGUGACCGGCCACACUGGAACUGAGACACGGUCCAGACUCCUACGGGAGGCAGCAGUGGGGAAUAUUGCAUAAUGGGCGAAAGCCUGAUGCAGCAACGCCGCGUGAGGGAUGAAGGCCUUCGGGUUGUAAACCUCUUUUAGCAGGGAAGAAGCGAAAGUGACGGUACCUGCAGAAAAAGCACCGGCUAACUACGUGCCAGCAGCCGCGGUAA
This 483-nucleotide ribosomal RNA is filed under the name uncultured bacterium. Its description in RNAcentral is "partial 16S ribosomal RNA". It matches the Rfam family "Bacterial small subunit ribosomal RNA", at positions 28 to 523 of the family's 1533-position model. The record is from RNAcentral.